GACGAACGCUGGCGGCGUGCUUAACACAUGCAAGUCGAACGAUGAAGCCUUAGCUUGCUUUGGUGGAUUAGUGGCGAACGGGUGAGUAACACGUGAGCAACGUGCCCAGGACUCUGGAAUAACCGCGGGAAACCGUGGCUAAUACCGGAUAGGUGCCGAGGCCGCAUGGUCUUCGGUUGGAAAGUUUUUGCGGUUCUGGAUCGGCUCACGGCCUAUCAGCUUGUUGGAGGGGUAAUGGCCUACCAAGGCGACGACGGGUAGCCGGCCUGAGAGGGUGACCGGCCACACUGGGACUGAGACACGGCCCAGACUCCUACGGGAGGCAGCAGUGGGGAAUAUUGCACAAUGGGCGCAAGCCUGAUGCAGCAACGCCGCGUGGGGGAUGACGGCCUUCGGGUUGUAAACCUCUUUUAGUAGGGAAGAAGCGCAAGUGACGGUACCUGCAGAAAAAGCACCGGCUAACUACGUG
This 469-nucleotide ribosomal RNA is filed under the name uncultured bacterium. Its description in RNAcentral is "partial 16S ribosomal RNA". It matches the Rfam family "Bacterial small subunit ribosomal RNA", at positions 28 to 507 of the family's 1533-position model. The record is from RNAcentral.